UGUUUCUAUAAACACUGAAGUAUAUGUUGCCAUUUUUUGUUGGCUGUACUCUGUAUUUUGCUUGAUUGAAGAUGGUGCAUAUCAUGCUCUCACCUGUACACACCUGCAAGCUAUAAUCACUUUGAUGUUUCCUUUGUGUAACUACACCCUGAGGAAGGCUCAAGCUGACACGUGUUGGUGUAUUUUUUAUGUCUUGCCCUAUUUAUUAAAGGCCUUUUUAUCACUUUUUGUAACCAA
Molecule: long non-coding RNA, 237 nt
Organism: Sander lucioperca (pikeperch)
Lineage: Eukaryota; Metazoa; Chordata; Actinopteri; Perciformes; Percidae
Exons: 2
Source: RefSeq, a predicted model, not a curated record